This is a long non-coding RNA of Chinchilla lanigera (long-tailed chinchilla), 1622 nucleotides long. Lineage: Eukaryota; Metazoa; Chordata; Mammalia; Rodentia; Chinchillidae. The record is from Ensembl.
UCGAGCCGCACAACCGAGCCGAGCCCAGCCGAGCAGCCGAGUCCAGCCGAGCAGCCGAACACCCGAGCCCAGCCGAGCAACCGAGCGCAGCCGAGCAGCCGAGCCGAGGCGAGCCCGUGGAGCACUGCGGGCUGCAGCAACGGCUGCAAAUGGUGCCUGCACCAGCCAAUGAGAGGCAGUGCCCAGUCCGCCCCGCCCACAGUAGCUGCUCCUCCCACCUCGCCCACACUCACCAAGGCUGGGGCGCGGCCCGGUGAAGUAAGGGCUAAGAGUCCUGCGCCCAGGACUGCGCGGGCUUCUGCCGUGGGGAGGCGGUGCGGGUGGCUGCCUUGGCCCGCUACCACCACAUUUCCCCUCCACUGUGUUCGUGGCAUCAAGAGUACAGCCCCUUACGGCCAGGCUUCGGCCAGCUGGUCCAGCGGGCCUGGUGCAGAGACGCCCCAGAAGGGAAACACCAGGACAGGUGCAGCUCCAGAUGCCACAGCUCCCAGGGGCCUCUCAGUCAGUCCUGUUGUGGGACCAGAGUUAGGAAGGGCCCUGUCCCUGGAAGAGUCCAGGCCAAGAGGCCCCACUGGCCAGUUAACCCCUGCACUUUCAGAACACCAGUGUGCUAGGUGACCGUCGUGACCCCAGCACCAAAGCCAACCAGGCCAAGACAAGAAAAGAAAAUGAAAGCCCACUUCAUCUAUGAGCCGAGAAACGAAUACCUUCAACAUUAGCGAACCGAUUCCAGCAACAUAAAUCGUGAUAAAUAGUGACGGAGGGCACUCCCUUGCUCCCUCAAGCUGGUCAAGGAAACUGCAGAGCCCAGCAUGAAGAUCGCAGCAGCAAGAGUGCUGUGCUGCCAGCCAGGAGAGAGUGAGGAGGUCCACUGCCCUCCGUGUGGCAGUGUUAGAGGGCACAGCCGUGUAAUUAGAAAGAAAAACAAAAAUCACACCAGUGGAGGGGAAGAUUUCAAUAUGCUUGGUUUGCAGGUAAUUGCAGUACUUUGGGAGGCUGAGGCAGGAGGAUGGACAGUUCAAGCACAACCUGGGGAAUUUAGUGACUUCACGCUCCCCUGUUUCAAAAUAAAAAAAGGUUGGGCGUGUGGCGGGUUAAAGUCCCCAGGUUGAUCCCUAGUACAACAACAAUAACAAAAGCUAAGUGAGUUUAGCAAGCACAGGUUAUAAACCCCCCACCAUAAUCAGCUGUUCCUUUGUACUAACAAUGAACCAUUGAAAUUAUAAAAACAGUUCCAUUUUUAAAUACAAUUUUUAGCAUACUGAAUACUUCGAAGUAGAUUCUAUGGACUAUGCCUGAGAUCUAUACACAGAAAACUGUAAAAUACCACUGAAAAGCAUCCUAAGACUUAGUCUCACCUUCUCCCUGGCUACUUGGCACAAGCACUUGUCUCCAAAGUUACGGGUUGAAUACAGUUUCAAUCAGAACCAUAGCUAAACUUGGUUUAUAUAUUUUUAUUUUAGAAAUUGACAGGCUCACAAGAUAGCUGAGAUAAUUGUACUACUAAUUUCUAUUGAUUUAUUGAAAGGAAUAGUUAAUGCUUAACUUUUUGACCAAUUUUGCAUGCUUAUAUCUGGUAAUCUGAACAACUAUUUUGAAGACAACAAUAUGCAAUAUAACAA